AGUGAACGCUGGCGGUAGGCCUAACACAUGCAAGUCGAACGGCAGCACAGUAAGAGCUUGCUCUUACGGGUGGCGAGUGGCGGACGGGUGAGGAAUACAUCGGAAUCUACUUUUUCGUGGGGGAUAACGUAGGGAAACUUACGCUAAUACCGCAUACGACCUACGGGGGAAAGCAUGGGAUCUUCGGACCUUGCGCGAUUGAAUGAGCCGAUGUCGGAUUAGCUAGUUGGCGGGGUAAAGGCCCACCAAGGCGACGAUCCGUAGCUGGUCUGAGAGGAUGAUCAGCCACACUGGAACUGAGACACGGUCCAGACUCCUACGGGAGGCAGCAGUGGGGAAUAUUGGACAAUGGGCGCAAGCCUGAUCCAGCCAUACCGCGUGUGUGAAGAAGGCCUUCGGGUUGUAAAGCCCUUUUGUUGGGAAAGAAAAGCAGCAGGUUAAUACCACGCUGUUCUGACGGUACCCAAAGAAUAAGCACCGGCUAACUUCGUG
This 492-nucleotide ribosomal RNA is filed under the name uncultured bacterium. Its description in RNAcentral is "partial 16S ribosomal RNA". It matches the Rfam family "Bacterial small subunit ribosomal RNA", at positions 29 to 507 of the family's 1533-position model. The record is from RNAcentral.